UGGUUGUUUUUUGGGGUUUUUUUGUAUUAAAACGACCGAGUAUCGAUAUCAAUGGUAACGAAAUAAGUUGACACCGCGUCUCGUCAAAACAUGUUCAAUUCGAAUUUACUCGGAAUUACACGGUCAACGAGCAUUUGCUGUGAAACCUGAUUAAAGGAAAAUUACUGUAGACACCUAAUAGUAAGUAUCAAAUGAUCUUUUUUGUUACAUGUACAUGUAGAUUUCAUAGCGUGAAUAAUAACAACACAACACCGAUAUAGGGGAUCAGAGUCAGUAUAUUAUUGACUCUGAAAAUACGAUUUGAGAAAUGAUACUGUAUAAAUUUUACUGUAUUUAUCUUGAUCAAUAAUUGCAUAUUCCUAUACGUAUUAAUCAUGUAAAGAUACUGAGGUCUUUUAACCAACAAUUUUAAAUGCUUGUGCCAGGGCCGUAAAUUACAUGGAGGCGGAGGAGGCAGCUGCCUCCUCCAACUUUUGAGCCAAAAAAAAAUUAAAAUUUAAAGUUCAUAUAGAAUUUAUGUUGUUUCCAAUAACUAAGAACAUGAUACCUCCCUUAAAAAGCAUUCCAAAUCUUUCUUUUAGAAUGAGUUAGUCAAGUAACAUCUUAGAAGGCCCUAGAAUCAAGGAUUUUGCACGAAACGUGUUCAGUGUGCACAAAAUGUGCUCAACGUCUGGGGGCCUGGGGCCCCAGACCCCCGCCUAAUUUCCUGCCUCCUCCAAAUUGAAGGUUAAUUUACGGCCCUGCAGUGUGCAAUACAUUAUUGACUGACAGAACGUAAUUCAUGAGCUGUGAUCUAAAAAUCUUCCAGACAUUAAUAUAGAUUUGAAUAGAAUUACAUCUAGAUACAUAUUUGAAAUGGAAUAUAUCCUAAGGCACUGUAGUUUUAAAUUGUUUGGAUUAUAUUGCAUUUACAUGUAAUUUAUACAUGCUUGUAAAUGCCACAGAAUGAGAAAUAAUCUAAAUUGGCCUAUUUUCAUAAUGUUCCCAAAAUAGAAGUAUCAUGUAGAUCUAUACAGGAAAUAACAUUUACAAAUCAUGUUUGUUGUUUGUUAUUUGCCAGUUAAGUAUCAUAAUGAUAAUACUAGUAUUUCAUGAUAAGUAAUUAUUAUGCUAAAAUCAAAUACCCUUUUUAUUGUCAACAAAUACAUCACUGGUAGAAAGGUUAUAAAGCUUUUAUCUAGCACAAGUUUCCAUAUUCUACAGGUUUACAUAUGUCAGCAAGUCCUCAAAAGCAGCUUUAGGGGUUCCCAGGAGAUUCUGAUGCUCACUGUUAGACUCUCACUGUUGUCAAAAUCCAACCUUAUUUUCUCUUUUCUCAAAAUUUCAGCUCUCAAAAACUUGUUUGAUUAAUUAUGUCACUCCUGUUUUGUUGAACAUGGUGUUGUCAGCAAUAGGUUCAAGUUCUUCUAUGUCUUGUUGUAGGUGAUUUGUACAGAAGUGAAUGAUGGCCUCUUUUGAAAUUAAGAUUUCAUGCCUUACUCCUACUGGGACUACAACUAACUUUGGACCUGGUCACUCGCAGAUACAGCAUGAAGUGUGCCCUCUUGAUGUACAUGGGGAUGGGAGUGAUACAGAAGGGGGACUAAUUGGAAGAACUGCUACUGCUGGUGGUGGUGCUGGACUGUCUUGAAUCUGUUGCCUAACCGACUUGAUAUUCUUCUGUUUAAUAUGGGAGCAACACACACACUCUGGCAUAUAUUGCACAGAAAAUCAUGAUCAGAUGGUGCCCUCCCUAUCAGAGUGGUGAUCACUGUCCUAUAUUUCUUUGAAAUCCUGGAUCUGUGUUUUGGUUUUACUCUCCAUGGACAGUUGAAACAGAGAAAGAAUUAGGGACCACUCCUUGGCAUAUCUGAAAUAUUUAUGUCAUAUACAUGUAAUUAAAAUAUACAAUUUGGGUUGGAUGAAAAUCUUAUCUUCAUGUUAAAACCCAUUAGCCUAGGUUAUUUUUCCUAAAAUCUAAUUAUAAAUCAAUUAACUUGUUAAUUAAUGCUUGGUGAAUCAAUUAAUAAAUUGUAUUCAAAAACUU
This is a long non-coding RNA of Ostrea edulis (European flat oyster), 2026 nucleotides long. RefSeq lists it as uncharacterized. NCBI's taxonomy places the organism in Eukaryota, Metazoa, Mollusca, Bivalvia, Ostreida, Ostreidae. The transcript is spliced from 2 exons. The record is from RefSeq and is a predicted model, not a curated record.